CUCGGUGAGGCCUUCGGACUGGCCCAGGGAGGUCGGCAACGACCACCCAGGGCCGGAAAGUUGGUCAAACCCGGUCAUUUAGAGGAAGUAAAAGUCGUAACAAGGUCUCCGUAGGUGAACCUGCGGAGGGAUCAUU
RNAcentral lists this ribosomal RNA (136 nucleotides) under Cladosporium sphaerospermum. RNAcentral's name for it is "partial 18S ribosomal RNA". It matches the Rfam family "Eukaryotic small subunit ribosomal RNA", at positions 1697 to 1830 of the family's 1831-position model. The record is from RNAcentral. Lineage: Eukaryota; Fungi; Ascomycota; Dothideomycetes; Cladosporiales; Cladosporiaceae.